ACUCCUACGGGAGGCAGCAGUGGGGAAUAUUGCACAAUGGGCGGAAGCCUGAUGCAGCGACGCCGCGUGAGGGAUGACGGUCUUCGGGUUGUAAACCUCUUUCAGUAGGGAAGAAGCGAAGGUGACGGUACCUGCAGAAGAAGCGCCGGCUAACUACGUGCCAGCAGCCGCGGUAAU
Molecule: ribosomal RNA, 177 nt
Filed under: uncultured Arthrobacter sp.
Lineage: Bacteria; Bacillati; Actinomycetota; Actinomycetes; Micrococcales; Micrococcaceae
Description: partial 16S ribosomal RNA
Rfam family: Bacterial small subunit ribosomal RNA
Source: RNAcentral